AUACGUAGGGUGCAAGCGUUAAUCGGAAUUACUGGGCGUAAAGCGUGCGCAGGCGGUUUUGUAAGACAGAGGUGAAAUCCCCGGGCUCAACCUGGGAAAUUCCUUUGUGACUGCCAGGCUAGAGUACGGCAGAGGGGGAUGGAAUUCCGCGUGUAGCAGUGAAAUGCGUAGAUAUGCGGAGGAACACCGAUGGCGAAGGCGAUCCCCGGGGCCGGAACUAACGCCCAUGCACGAACGCGUAGCGAGCAAACAGGGUUAGAUACCCUGUUAGUCCACGCCCUAACGGAUGUCAACUGGUUGUUGGGUAUUCAUUGACUCAGUAACGAAGCUAACGCGUGAAGUUGACCGCCUGGGGAGUACGGCCGCAAGGUUGAAGCGCAAAUGAAUUGGCUGGG
RNAcentral lists this ribosomal RNA (395 nucleotides) under uncultured bacterium. RNAcentral describes it as "partial 16S ribosomal RNA". It matches the Rfam family "Bacterial small subunit ribosomal RNA", at positions 523 to 918 of the family's 1533-position model. The record is from RNAcentral.